RNAcentral lists this long non-coding RNA (291 nucleotides) under Aquilegia coerulea. RNAcentral's name for it is "long non-coding RNA (ACOE_LNC000485)". The record is from RNAcentral. Lineage: Eukaryota; Viridiplantae; Streptophyta; Magnoliopsida; Ranunculales; Ranunculaceae.
UUGGAUAUUAGGGACGGAACCCACUUCUGCCAAGGAGGAUUUUGCUAAAUUGAUUUUCAACCCGGAUAUGCCUUCGAAAAUGAACAACACCGCUUUAAUGGUAUCAAGAGCACGGAAAGAAAGUUCGGUCAAGAAGAUUGUGUCAUCCGCGAAUUGCAAAACCCCGACUUUCACUUCUCCAUUGCCAACAUGAAAAACAUCAAGGAGCCCAUCAUUAAUGCAUUUGGUCGUGAGUCUUGAAAGUGCCUACAUCACCAAGAGGAAUAGAGAGGGGGAAAGGGGACCCCCUUG